This 66-nucleotide transfer RNA is filed under the name Diamphipnoa annulata. RNAcentral describes it as "tRNA-Leu". Lineage: Eukaryota; Metazoa; Arthropoda; Insecta; Plecoptera; Diamphipnoidae. The record is from RNAcentral.
UCUACUUUGGCAGAUAAGUGCAAUGAAUUUAGAUUUCGUAUAUGUAAAUAAUUUUUACAGGUAGGA